Molecule: ribosomal RNA, 309 nt
Filed under: uncultured bacterium
Lineage: Bacteria
Description: partial 16S ribosomal RNA
Rfam family: Bacterial small subunit ribosomal RNA
Source: RNAcentral
AGAGACAGCAGUAGCCGCGGUAAUACGUAGGGUGCAAGCGUUAUCCGGAAUUAUUGGGCGUAAAGAGCUCGUAGGCGGUUUGUCGCGUCUGCUGUGAAAACUGGAGGCUCAACCUCCAGCCUGCAGUGGGUACGGGCAGACUAGAGUGCGGUAGGGGAGAUUGGAAUUCCUGGUGUAGCGGUGGAAUGCGCAGAUAUCAGGAGGAACACCGAUGGCGAAGGCAGAUCUCUGGGCCGUAACUGACGCUGAGGAGCGAAAGCGUGGGGAGCGAACAGGAUUAGAUACCCCGGUAGUCCCUGUCUCUUAUAC